AGAAUCAACGCUGGCGGCGUGCCUAACACAUGCAAGUCGAACGAGAAAGUGGAGCAAUCCAUGAGUAAAGUGGCGCACGGGUGAGUAACACGUGACUAACCUACCUUUUAGUGGGGGAUAACCUAGGGAAACCUGGGCUAAUACCGCAUAACACUUACGAGUCAAAGCAGCAAUGCGCUGAAAGAGGGGGUCGCGGUCGAUUAGUUAGUUGGCAGGGUAAUGGCCUACCAAGACUGUGAUCGAUAUCCGGCCUGAGAGGGCGCACGGACACACUGGAACUGAAACACGGUCCAGACUCCUACGGGAGGCAGCAGUGGGGAAUUUUGCGCAAUGGGGGAAACCCUGACGCAGCAACGCCGCGUGGAGGAUGAAGUCCCUUGGGACGUAAACUCCUUUCGAUCGGGACGAUAAUGACGGUACCGGAAGAAGAACGCCCCGGCUAACUUCGCGCCAGCAGCCGC
RNAcentral lists this ribosomal RNA (461 nucleotides) under uncultured bacterium. Its description in RNAcentral is "SSU rRNA". It matches the Rfam family "Bacterial small subunit ribosomal RNA", at positions 26 to 518 of the family's 1533-position model. The record is from RNAcentral.